AAUUAAUAUUAAUCAAUAUAACAAAAAAUAUUUUAACCAUAUGGUCCUUUCGUACUAAUAUGGAUUAACAAUCUUAGGAUAGAAACCGACCUGGCUCACGCCGGUCUGAACUCAGAUCAUGUAAGAAUUUAAAGGUCGAACAGACCUAAUCAUUGGGCUCCUGCACCCAAAAUUUUUCUUAAUCCAACAUCGAGGUCGCAAUCUGCUUUGUCGAUAUGAGCUCUCAAAAACAAUUACGCUGUUAUCCCUAAGGUAACUUAAUCUUAUGAUCAUAAAUUAUGGAUCAAAAUAACAAACAUAAAUAAAUGAUAUAAUAAUGAAGAGUUUAUCUAUUCUUCAUGUCACCCCAACAAAACAUCAUCAUUAAAUAUAGAAAGACAAACCAAAAACUAUAUAAAAGUAAAAUGUCAAGCCAUAUAGGGUCUUCUCGUCCUAAAGAAGAAUUUAAGCCUUUUGACUCAAAAGUUAAAUUCAAAAAUUUAUUAAGAGACAGUUGAUUUCUCGUCAAGCCAUUCAUUCCAGCCACUAAUUAAGAGACUAAUGAUUAUGCUACCUUUGCACGGUCAAAAUACCGCGGCUCUUUAAAAAUAUGCUCAGUGAGCAGGCCAGACCUCAAAAUAUAAACAAGAGGACAUGUUUUUGAUAAACAGGCGGAAAUCAAUUUUGCCUAGUUCCUUAUAAUAAGUUCACAAGGUAAAAAUUUCAUACAAAUAAAUAUACUAAUUCUAUCAUUAUUACAAAAAUUUUAAAAUUAAAUUAAUAAUCUUAAUAAAAAACCUAAAAUAUUUAUAAAAUCAAAAUAAAAAAUAAUGAACUAAAACGUAAUCUUAAAGAUAGCUGGUUUAAAGCUUACUAUUAUAUUUCUAUAAAAUAAAUUAUAGAUUAUUAAUUUAAUUUUAAAAUUUUUGUAAUAAUGAUAGAAUUAGUAUAUUUAUUUGUAUGAAAUUUUUACCUUGUGAACUUAUUAUAAGGAACUAGGCAAAAUUGAUUUCCGCCUGUUUAUCAAAAACAUGUCCUCUUGUUUAUAUUUUGAGGUCUGGCCUGCUCACUGAGCGUAUUUUUAAAGAGCCGCGGUAUUUUGACCGUGCAAAGGUAGCAUAAUCAUUAGUCUCUUAAUUAGUGGCUGGAAUGAAUGGCUUGACGAGAAAUCAACUGUCUCUUAAUAAAUUUUUGAAUUUAACUUUUGAGUCAAAAGGCUUAAAUUCUUCUUUAGGACGAGAAGACCCUAUAGAGCUUGACAUUUUACUUUUAUAUAGUUUUUUGUUUGUCUUUCUAUAUUUAAUGAUGAUGUUUUGUUGGGGUGACAUGAAGAAUAGAUAAACUCUUCAUUAUUAUAUCAUUUAUUUAUGUUUGUUAUUUUGAUCCAUAAUUUAUGAUCAUAAGAUUAAGUUACCUUAGGGAUAACAGCGUAAUUGUUUUUGAGAGCUCAUAUCGACAAAGCAGAUUGCGACCUCGAUGUUGGAUUAAGAAAAAUUUUGGGUGCAGGAGCCCAAUGAUUAGGUCUGUUCGACCUUUAAAUUCUUACAUGAUCUGAGUUCAGACCGGCGUGAGCCAGGUCGGUUUCUAUCCUAAGAUUGUUAAUCCAUAUUAGUACGAAAGGACCAUAUGGUUAAAAUAUUUUUUGUUAUGUUGAUUAAUAUUAAUUUAUUUA
This is a long non-coding RNA of Schistocerca gregaria, 1651 nucleotides long. RefSeq lists it as uncharacterized. The record is from RefSeq and is a predicted model, not a curated record. NCBI's taxonomy places the organism in Eukaryota, Metazoa, Arthropoda, Insecta, Orthoptera, Acrididae. The transcript has 2 exons.